GAUGAACGCUAGCUCCAGGCUUAACACAUGCAAGUCGAGGGACCGGCGCACGGGAGAGUAACACGUAUCCAACCUGCCCUUUACUCGGGGAUAGCCUUUCGCAAGACAGAUUAAUACCCGAUAUAAAGGAUGGGGAUGCGUUCCAUUAGGUUGUUGGUGAGGGAACGGCACACCAAGCCUUCGAUGGAUAGGGGUUCUGAGAGGAAGGGCCCCCAAAUUGGAACUGGGACACGGUACAAACUCCGACGGGAGGCAGCAGUGAGGAAUAUAGGUCAAUGGGCGCUAGCCUGAACCAGCCAAGUAGCGUGAAGGAUGAAGGGUUAUGGGUCGUAAACUUCUUUUAUAUAAGAAUAUGUAUUAUAUGAAUAAGGAUCGGCUAACUCUGUGCCAGCAGCCGCGGUAAUUC
Molecule: ribosomal RNA, 406 nt
Filed under: uncultured bacterium
Lineage: Bacteria
Description: partial 16S ribosomal RNA
Rfam family: Bacterial small subunit ribosomal RNA
Source: RNAcentral